CAUACCUCCUGCAGCAGGGUCACCUCAUACUCCUGCAGCUGCUGCUGGAAGCCAAAGUUGGGGCUGACGUAGGACCGUACAGCCUUGGUGGCAGCCAGGCAGCCCUCCCAGCCGAGCUCAGUCACUGUCAUGAGAGCAGGCAGCAUCCCCCAGAGCCUGCACAGGUCCAAGCUCUCCAGAUCCCAGUCCUCUACUUCAGCCCCUUGGCUAGGACCGGCAGGGAUACAUCACCUUGCUUGCGGGGACCUGAUGCUGUUGCCUCCAGCUCCCUUGACACACUUGGUGCCAGCCUCCAGCCCUCCCUGUCUGUGCAGCAUCACUCUCCCAACCCAUCCCAGAGGGACAGAGCUGACCCGUAGGUGAGGGGAAAGGCACAAUCCACUUUCGGGUACCAUCACCCCAUUCCCUGUGGGUAGGGAGAACCAUGCUGCAUUGCAUCCAUCCCAUCCUGGGCUAUUGCCCUCAUUUCAGCCCGGAGGAGAGGCCAGACUGUGAGAAACAGCUAUGAUGCUCAGAAGCCCCCCCAAAACUGAGCCACCCCUUUCCCAGGGCCCCAGCCAGCGAGCCCCAUCAGGAAGACAUGUAUGAACAUGCACUGAUGAAGUCACUCUCAUUAAUGACUUAUUUCCUCCCAGUCCUUUUAAUACACAAUAAAUCAUCCUGCCACAUGUUGGCGUGGGUCAGAUUCCUUUAAAACGCCGCUUCCUCGAUCCUCCCUGUUCUGAGUUAAAAUUAGAUCCUUUUCAUCUGAGUUUUUUGGGGUUUUUUUCUUUCUUAGAAAAAUGGGUGGAAAUCCUGCCAGCCAGAGCUGAAACAUUGAAGCACCAGGGAUUGCUCCAUCUCCAUCAGCUCCCUGUGGCAUCGGUGCCCAAAGGUCCUCCCUGGGCAACCCAGCCUCACAGGCCAACCUUGCUUCCCUCCAGCCUGGGGCAAAUCGGGAGGCUGGAAAAAGCUGACUAUUUAAGGAGAGAAGGGACAGAGCAAGAUGGGCACAGGGAUAUUUCUGCACUGGAAAGACCUGUGUUGCAAGGAUGAGCACGGGCAG
Molecule: long non-coding RNA, 1045 nt
Organism: Falco peregrinus (peregrine falcon)
Lineage: Eukaryota; Metazoa; Chordata; Aves; Falconiformes; Falconidae
Exons: 3
Source: RefSeq, a predicted model, not a curated record